Molecule: ribosomal RNA, 731 nt
Filed under: Enterobacter asburiae
Lineage: Bacteria; Pseudomonadati; Pseudomonadota; Gammaproteobacteria; Enterobacterales; Enterobacteriaceae
Description: bacterial SSU rRNA
Rfam family: Bacterial small subunit ribosomal RNA
Source: RNAcentral
CUUGACAAAGACUGACGCUCAGGUGCGACAGCGUGGGCAGCAAACAUGCAUUAGAUACCGUGGUAGUCCCACGCAGUCAACGACGUCGACUCGGAGGUUGCGCCAUUGAGGCGCGGCUUCCGGAGCUAACGCGUUAAGUCGACCGCCUGGGGGAGUACGGCCGCAAGGUUAAAACUCAAAUGAAUUGACGGGGGCCCGCACAAGCGGUGGAGCAUGUGGUUUAAUUCGAUGCAACGCGAAGAACCUUACCUACUCUUGACAUCCAGAGAACUUUCCAGAGAUGGAUUGGUGCCUUCGGGAACUCUGAGACAGGUGCUGCAUGGCUGUCGUCAGCUCGUGUUGUGAAAUGUUGGGUUAAGUCCCGCAACGAGCGCAACCCUUAUCCUUUGUUGCCAGCGGUCCGGCCGGGAACUCAAAGGAGACUGCCAGUGAUAAACUGGAGGAAGGUGGGGAUGACGUCAAGUCAUCAUGGCCCUUACGAGUAGGGCUACACACGUGCUACAAUGGCGCAUACAAAGAGAAGCGACCUCGCGAGAGCAAGCGGACCUCAUAAAGUGCGUCGUAGUCCGGAUUGGAGUCUGCAACUCGACUCCAUGAAGUCGGAAUCGCUAGUAAUCGUAGAUCAGAAUGCUACGGUGAAUACGUUCCCGGGCCUUGUACACACCGCCCGUCACACCAUGGGAGUGGGUUGCAAAAGAAGUAGGUAGCUUAACCUUCGGGAGGGCGCUACC